AAAUAGUUCCCAAUGUAUAAAUAGAAAAUACGGGAACACGAUAAAGUUAAUUCGGUGUAUUCGUUCAGAUAUGGUAUUCAAGAACAAGUCUGCUGUGAUUGUCAUUUUGGCUAUUCUUUUGGUCAACAACCCUGGUCUUCUUACAGUAGAAGGAAAUGAUUUACAAUGCUGGAUCAAACGUGGUACCUGCCAAUAUUAUUGGAGAUAUUGUAGUGGCAGAUAUCUGAAAGGUUUUUGUGACGGAGGUUCUUGGCGUCAAUGUUGUGUGAAUUACUUCUAAUCUUGAAAAUAAAAUCAGAAUGAUUUGA
Saccostrea echinata is the source of this 308-nucleotide long non-coding RNA. RefSeq lists it as uncharacterized. Lineage: Eukaryota; Metazoa; Mollusca; Bivalvia; Ostreida; Ostreidae. The record is from RefSeq and is a predicted model, not a curated record. The transcript is spliced from 2 exons.